CCUACGGGUUGCAGCAGUGGGGAAUAUUGGACAAUGGGCGAAAGCCUGAUCCAGCCAUGCCGCGUGUGUGAAGAAGGCCUUCGGGUUGUAAAGCACUUUCAGUGGGGAAGAAAGCCUUGGGGCUAAUACCCUCGAGGAAGGACAUCACCCACAGAAGAAGCACCGGCUAACUCCGUGCCAGCAGCCGUGGUAAUACGGAGGGUGCGAGCGUUAAUCGGAAUUACUGGGCGUAAAGCGCGCGUAGGCGGUCUGAUAAGCCGGUUGUGAAAGCCCCGGGCUCAACCUGGGAACGGCAUCCGGAACUGUCAGGCUAGAGUGCAGGAGAGGAAGGUAGAAUUCCCGGUGUAGCGGUGAAAUGCGUAGAGAUCGGGAGGAAUACCAGUGGCGAAGGCGGCCUUCUGGACUGACACUGACGCUGAGGUGCGAAAGCGUGGGUAGCAAACAGGAUUAGAUACCCCUGUAGUC
Molecule: ribosomal RNA, 465 nt
Filed under: Vreelandella stevensii
Lineage: Bacteria; Pseudomonadati; Pseudomonadota; Gammaproteobacteria; Oceanospirillales; Halomonadaceae
Description: partial 16S ribosomal RNA
Rfam family: Bacterial small subunit ribosomal RNA
Source: RNAcentral